This 313-nucleotide long non-coding RNA is filed under the name Penaeus japonicus. Its description in RNAcentral is "uncharacterized LOC122254958". The record is from RNAcentral. Lineage: Eukaryota; Metazoa; Arthropoda; Malacostraca; Decapoda; Penaeidae.
AUUACACCAGAGGCAGUGCCAGUGUUGCUUGCAAUCAGAGGGACAAUCUGACAGAAGUGGAAGAAGGAGCGCCUGGCCUCGGCGUCCUUCGUUCUCGAGCGUGUCGCGCGGGAUUCGAUUUUUAAACAGGAUUGAUUUUGUUUACUUUUCUUUUUAUUAUUAUUUUUUUAAGCUGUUUACGUUUUGUAUGUCUGCAUUGUGUUUGGGUUGGAUCUUCUGACAAGACAGCUGCCGAGAGAAUGGCGUUUCCAACCGAUGAUGUUUGCGAAGGUGGGAUUUUCGACGAGGCGAAUCAGCUGUGUCAUGUCGAGGU